CCUAGGGGCUGCAGCAGUGGGGAAUAUUGGACAAUGGGCGAAAGCCUGAUCCAGCCAUGCCGCGUGUGUGAAGAAGGCCUUCGGGUUGUAAAGCACUUUCAGUGGGGAAGAAAGCCUUGGGGCUAAUACCCUCGAGGAAGGACAUCACCCACAGAAGAAGCACCGGCUAACUCCGUGCCAGCAGCCGCGGUAAUACGGAGGGUGCGAGCGUUAAUCGGAAUUACUGGGCGUAAAGCGCGCGUAGGCGGUCUGAUAAGCCGGUUGUGAAAGCCCCGGGCUCAACCUGGGAACGGCAUCCGGAACUGUCAGGCUAGAGUGCAGGAGAGGAAGGUAGAAUUCCCGGUGUAGCGGUGAAAUGCGUAGAGAUCGGGAGGAAUACCAGUGGCGAAGGCGGCCUUCUGGACUGACACUGACGCUGAGGUGCGAAAGCGUGGGUAGCAAACAGGAUUAGAUACCCCAGUAGUC
This 465-nucleotide ribosomal RNA is filed under the name Vreelandella stevensii. Its description in RNAcentral is "partial 16S ribosomal RNA". It matches the Rfam family "Bacterial small subunit ribosomal RNA", at positions 338 to 795 of the family's 1533-position model. The record is from RNAcentral. Lineage: Bacteria; Pseudomonadati; Pseudomonadota; Gammaproteobacteria; Oceanospirillales; Halomonadaceae.